CUGAACCAGCCAAGUAGCGUGAAGGAUGACUGCCCUAUGGGUUGUAAACUUCUUUUAUAUGGGAAUAAAGUUUUCCACGUGUGGAAUUUUGUAUGUACCAUAUGAAUAAGGAUCGGCUAACUCCGUGCCAGCAGCCGCGGUAAUACGGAGGAUCCGAGCGUUAUCCGGAUUUAUUGGGUUUAAAGGGAGCGUAGGUGGACAGUUAAGUCAGUUGUGAAAGUUUGCGGCUCAACCGUAAAAUUGCAGUUGAUACUGGCUGUCUUGAGUACAGUAGAGGUGGGCGGAAUUCGUGGUGUAGCGGUGAAAUGCUUAGAUAUCACGAAGAACUCCGAUUGCGAAGGCAGCUCACUGGACUGCAACUGACACUGAUGCUCGAAAGUGUGGGUAUCAAACAGGAUUAGAUACCCUGGUAGUCCACACAGUAAACGAUGAAUACUCGCUGUUUGCGAUAUACAGUAAGCGGCCAAGCGAAAGCAUUAAGUAUUCCACCUGGGGAGUACGCCGGCAACGGUGAAACUCAAAGGAAUUGACGGGGGCCCGCACAAGCGGAGGAACAUGUGGUUUAAUUCGAUGAUACGCGAGGAACCUUACCCGGGCUUAAAUUGCAUUUGAAUAUAUUGGAAACAGUAUAGCCGUAAGGCAAAUGUGAAGGUGCUGCAUGGUUGUCGUCAGCUCGUGCCGUGAGGUGUCGGCUUAAGUGCCAUAACGAGCGCAACCCUUAUCUUUAGUUACUAACAGGUCAUGCUGAGGACUCUAGAGAGACUGCCGUCGUAAGAUGUGAGGAAGGUGGGGAUGACGUCAAAUCAGCACGGCCCUUACGUCCGGGGCUACACACGUGUUACAAUGGGGGGUACAGAAGGCAGCUACCUGGUGACAGGAUGCUAAUCCCAAAAGCCUCUCUCAGUUCGGAUCGAAGUCUGCAACCCGACUUCGUGAAGCUGGAUUCGCUAGUAAUCGCGCAUCAGCCAUGGCGCGGUGAAUACGUUCCCGGGCCUUGUACACACCGCCCGUCAAGCCAUGAAAGCCGGGGGUACCUGAAGUACGUAACCGCAAGGAGCGUCCUAGGGUAAAACUGGUAAUUGGGGCUAAGUCGUAACAAGGUAGCCGUACCGGAAGGUGCGGCUGGAACACCU
This 1133-nucleotide ribosomal RNA is filed under the name Bacteroides thetaiotaomicron dnLKV9. Its description in RNAcentral is "bacterial SSU rRNA". It matches the Rfam family "Bacterial small subunit ribosomal RNA", at positions 383 to 1528 of the family's 1533-position model. The record is from RNAcentral. Lineage: Bacteria; Pseudomonadati; Bacteroidota; Bacteroidia; Bacteroidales; Bacteroidaceae.